AAGAGAAAAAUGUUUAUAAGGAAGCUGCUAACUAUCCUUAUUAACAGUUAAAUUCUGUUAUUCUCUUA
RNAcentral lists this transfer RNA (68 nucleotides) under Trachypeplus jacobsoni. Its description in RNAcentral is "tRNA-Ser". Lineage: Eukaryota; Metazoa; Arthropoda; Insecta; Hemiptera; Tingidae. The record is from RNAcentral.